CAAGUAACCUAGCCACGCAGUCGUUACGAUUCAUAAUAUUUCGGAGUCGACACAGCUUUUGGUUUAUUCAUCCAUCAAACUGUAUUGAAUUCCGAACGGUAGGAAUAGUAAUGGUAAAUCGGCGCCCUAAAUAGCGCUACAUUUUACCAGAGCCAUAGAGAUGGCUCUGCAUUUUACCAUGCACUUUUCCGUCUGCUUAACAUGGAUGUAAUGUUACAUUUAGGAUACCCUAAGCAUAUUCCUCUCAAAUCAUGGCUAUUAUGAGGAGGAUCAUAGCAUGUAAACGUAGGUGAAUUAUGUUCUGCACAUUGUCAUUGUUGCCACUCUGUUAUACUAAGAGAGGAAUCUUUAAGUCAUAGAAGAAAAUUAAGUAUUGAACAAGGUGUACCCUUCCCUUCCCCUUGUCUCAGUCUGACAUGUACUGUACAUCCUGUUGUUGAAUCUGGCCAGUGGUAUAUUUGUGCAGCCUGUAUUUGUGCGUUUGGAAGUACUCUCGACUAUUGAAAACUAAAUGCUGAGUGUGCAUUGAUCAUGUAACUGUGCAAUCUAAUGUGAAAAUUCAAAUAAUUUCUUUGCUCUGUUGCAGCUUUAAAUGGAGCUCCCAAAAUUCAUUGUUCACAUAUUCCUGGAGGACAAGGAAAUAAGAAGAAAAGUAUUUCAACUGAGAUCUGUAGGAGAGCUAGUAGAUGCUUGCAAGUCAGGAACAGCAACACAAUUUUGAAAUUCAAUUCUGACUUCAAUGAAUUCAUAGACACAGACAGCAGUGACAAUAUGGAACACAUGGACAAGUUCCAAGUAUAUUUCAAGUCAUGUGGCUCGUCAGUGUUGGAUCCCAUCGACGUUGAGAAACUGAAAUCCAUACUUGAGAGGAAAGGUGCAAGUGUUCUGGCAGACUAUGAAGCUUCUGGAAUGCUCUCAGAGACUUCAAGAAAGCUCCUUGUGAAAAUUUGUGUCAGUGAUUUGAUUGAGAGAAAGGGAUUUUAUACACCAACUGAUGACAAAUCCAGAUUGGCUAGGUGUAUGGUUACACUUUUCCCGUCACUGAAAGUCAUAAUGGAAGAUGAGA
Gadus macrocephalus (Pacific cod) is the source of this 1066-nucleotide long non-coding RNA. RefSeq lists it as uncharacterized. The transcript is spliced from 3 exons. The record is from RefSeq and is a predicted model, not a curated record. Lineage: Eukaryota; Metazoa; Chordata; Actinopteri; Gadiformes; Gadidae.